AUUGAACGCUGGCGGCAUGCUUUACACAUGCAAGUCGAACGGUAACAGGCCUUCGGGUGCUGACGAGUGGCGAACGGGUGAGUAAUGCAUCGGAACGUGCCCAGAGGUGGGGGAUAACGCAGCGAAAGCUGUGCUAAUACCGCAUGUGAUCUGAGGAUGAAAGCGGGGGACCAGGCAGCAAUGUUUGGCCUCGCGCCUUUGGAGCGGCCGAUGUCAGAUUAGGUAGUUGGUGGGGUAAAGGCCUACCAAGCCGACGAUCUGUAGCUGGUCUGAGAGGACGACCAGACACACGGGGACUGAGAAACGGCACAGACUCCUACGGGAGGACGCAGUGGGGAAUUUUGGACAAUGGGGGCAAGCCUGAUCCAGCAAUGCCGCGUGAGGGAAGAAGGCCUUCGGGUGGUAAACCGCUUUUGUACGGAACGAAAAGGAUCUGGCUAAUACCUGGGGCUGAUGACGGUACCGUAAGAAUAAGCACCGGCUAACUACGUG
Molecule: ribosomal RNA, 492 nt
Filed under: uncultured bacterium
Lineage: Bacteria
Description: partial 16S ribosomal RNA
Rfam family: Bacterial small subunit ribosomal RNA
Source: RNAcentral